UGUCCACCCUGUCAUUAUGGGGAAACUGCCCCAUAAAAAAACAUCUGAUGUUUUCAGUGACAUCACUACCACCAUUUUGUCUUUCUUCAGUGGAGGCUGAGACAUUGGCUAGUUGCAGAGAAUGAGCUCAAAAGGAGCUGAGAUAGCGAGGAGAUAUCGGGAACGUCGUGAUGCUGACCCGGACAGAAGAAGAAAGUACCUUGAGAAAGAGAGGGACAAAUGGAAAAAAGACAGAGAGACUGGAAUGAAGAAGGGUGUCAAUGAGCUUAGUGAGAGAGCGAAGAGGGCAAAAAGAAAGAAAUGGAGAGAGGCAAAAAGUCGAGACAGAGCCAGAGACAGGGCCAGUGCUUUGCUACAGUCAGAGACACCACCAGACUCCCCUGCAACUCCUGAGAAUCAGCCUGAGCCAGGGAUUUCCAGGUUAGAUCAUUGGAAGUUUAGCUGAUGACUUAUUAGAAAGUUUAGAUGUAUUUGAAAGACAAUUAUCAACUAUUUAUGUCCCCAUAAAACAACAUAUUGAUAAACUAACUCAUUAAAAUCUUACUAAAAAUCCAUAUAUAAUAAUAUACAAAUAUUUUGUGUUUCAGGCAACAGCGUCUAGGGGCAAGUGCUCGAAGAAGGUCGAAGAGGAAACUGAAAGAUCAGAUUGAAAUAUUAUAGGCACAGCUCGCAAAAGAGAAAACUAAAACUGAGAAAUAUAAGAAGAGGCUCUAUAGGGCCAAGAAAGGAAGUUUGUCUAAAUCACCACGUUCAAAAGUCAAUGCUUUGUUGGGACGUAACAAAGUGAAUUCACCCAUCAAAAGAGCUCUUAUUUUCCGUAUCCCUGAUUGAAGAUAUUAAAAGAAAAUAUGAAAAUGCAAAAACAAACAGAGAUAAGCAGUUGAUAGCAAAAGUGAUCAGUGGAAACAUUCAGAAGAAGUACAAGCUCCAAAAGCAUGCACAGACUGCUUUUGGCUACUCUAACAAGAGAGCAAAGUAUCCUGUGGAUCUUACCUACCAUGGGAGGAGGUGCGUCAGUCGAAAUGAGUUGAGGAAGAACGUUACAUCGUUUUUUCUACGAGAUGAUGUUAGUCGAAUGACGACCGGCCGCAAACAAACAGUCACACUGCUGAAGAAAAAGAUGCAGAGGAGGUUGCUUACCGAUACAAGGAAGAACUUGCAUAGGAAGUUUCUCUCUGAGCACAUUGGCCAGGUGUCAUACACAUCCUUUUGCCGUCCCAGACCCUUUUGGGUGGUAACCCCCUCUUCCUCUGACCGUGACACAUGUCUCUGCAAAAAACAUGAGAACUUGCAAUUCAUGGCCAAUGCCUUGCAGAGCCAAGGGUUGCUGUCCUCAAGAAACAUUGAGGAAAUGUCUGAAGCAACCAUGUGCGACCCGAAAGCCAAGGUAUGUGCUUACGGUGAGUGCAGUGAAUGCCUCCUAACUUGUCACCCGAUGCUGAAAAUUCCUGGGGAAGAGAACAUUCGUUUAUCUCAGUGGAUGACAGAGAAGAUCACGAAGGAUGAGAAGGUGUCAACAAUCACAGUGAAAAGGGAGAUAACAACAACGCAGCACGACCUUAACACAGAUUUCCAGGAGAGGCUUCUCCAUUUUAAACGCCAUGUCUUCAACAUUAAAUGGCAGUUUAAUGCCUACAGGGAGCUCAGGAGGAGCCUGAAGCACAACGAGUCCCUUUUGCAUAUAGAUUUUAGCGAAAAUUACUCGUGCAACUAGUACAGCCAAGAAAUACAAUCUGUGCAUUUUGGAGGCUCACACCAGCAGGCCAGUCUGCACACUGGAGUGCUCUACACUGCUGGUGGACAAGCGCCGCACACUUUCUGCUCCAUAUCACCCUCCAGAACACACAACCCUGUGGCCAUCUGGGCCCACCGUUAUCCAAUUCUGAAGGUAGUGAGAGAACGACACCCUCAAGUCAGCAUACUUCAUUUUUUCAGCGACGGGCCUGCAACACAGUAUCGACAAAAGGGAAAUUUCUUCUACCUCUCAACUGAACCCUACAAGUAUGGCUUCAAAUAAAUAACGUGGAAUUUCUUUGAGGCUAGUCAUGGGAAGGGGGCACCAGACGGUGUUGGUGGGGCCCUCAAGAGGUCAGCAGACCGAAUUGUGGCCCAUGGAGGAGACAUCCCUGAUGCCCAGAGCUUGUAUGACAAGCUGAAAAGCCUGGACACAUCUGUUGAGUUGUUCUUCGUCCCAGAGAGGGAUAUUGAAUCAAAGGCUCAGGUACCUGCAAUAGCUGCGGUAAAAGGCACUCUAAGAAUCCACCAAGCUAUCAGUCUGACACCCGGCCAGAUGAAAUACCGAGACAUUUCAUGCCUGUGUAAAAGGGAGGAAGGUGUUUUGGACUGCCCCUGCUUUAACCUUCAAGAGGUCACUCUAGCUGAUGUUCCUGUUUCAUCUGAUGAGUCCCCAGCAAGUGGAAAGGCACCAGAUAACCCUAGGAGACCAGCAAUGAUUGAGGUGAAGCACAUUGGAGAGUGGUGCGUCGUUAAUUACGACAAUGAAGCAUACCCAGGUUUCAUCAUGGAUGCAGAAGGGCACAGUGUGAAAGUUAAGUGUAUGCACCGCAAUGGCAUAAACAAGUUCCAUUGGCCAAGUCCCCGGGAGGACAUAUGUUGGUACAAUGACUGGCAAAUACUUUGCCUAAUACCAGAACCACAGGCUCUGAACAAGCGCUCAGUACAAAUUGAAGCAUCUGCUUGGAAGUAUGUGGAAGAGCAACUACAGAAAUGAGCCAUGUCUCUGCAGAAAGGGAGAGACUGUUUUGGAGACGCGUCUAAUUGAUCUCUCUGUAACAUGCUUUUUUUUCUUUUUUAAAUCAACUGUUCUCCACUUAAAAAUUGUUUUCUUCUUGUUCUACAGUUGAAUGUUUGACUUUCACUGUGCAGAAUGAUGUACAUAAUUUAACACAAGAAGGCCACAUUAAUGUUCUUUAUUCAGUGGCCGCAUGCAGGUAGAGUGGAUCAAAACCAGUCUGUUCAACUGGUCAUUUCCCCCUACAUGGGAUAGGACCUCUGACAUUUUCUUUUACAUCAUUUCCUUUAGAUGUAUUGCAUUUAUGAGGCCAUUCAAUGACAUUUCACAAUGUGUCCACCCUGUCAUGCCCAAGGUCCACCCUGUCAUGUCAUUGUCCACCCUGUCAUUUUCAUGUUUUAUGAAAAUUAAUUAAAUAUUUUACCAAAGUUA
Molecule: long non-coding RNA, 3184 nt
Organism: Gymnodraco acuticeps
Lineage: Eukaryota; Metazoa; Chordata; Actinopteri; Perciformes; Bathydraconidae
Exons: 3
Source: RefSeq, a predicted model, not a curated record